RNAcentral lists this ribosomal RNA (818 nucleotides) under uncultured bacterium. RNAcentral's name for it is "bacterial SSU rRNA". It matches the Rfam family "Bacterial small subunit ribosomal RNA", at positions 680 to 1501 of the family's 1533-position model. The record is from RNAcentral.
GGUAAAAUCCGUAGAGAUCACUAGGAAUACUCAUAGCGAAGGCGACUGACUGGAACUUUACUGACGCUGAGGCGUGAAAGCGUGGGGAGCAAACAGGAUUAGAUACCCUGGUAGUCCACGCCCUAAACGAUGUACACUAGUUGUUGCGAUGCAAGUCAUCGCAGUAAUGCAGCUAACGCAUUAAGUGUACCGCCUGGGGUGUACGGUCGCAAGAUUAAAACUCAAAGGAAUAGACGGGGACCCGCACAAGCGGUGGAGCAUGUGGUUUAAUUCGAAGAUACGCGAAGAACCUUACCUGGACUUGACAUCCUAUUAAUAACAUAGAGAUAAGUUAGUGCUAGUUUACUAGAAAAUAUUGCCAGGUGCUGCACGGCUGUCGUCAGCUCGUGUCGUGAGAUGUUGGGUUAAGUCCCGCAACGAGCGCAACCCUCGUCGUUAGUUGCUAACAGUUUGGCUGAGCACUCUAACGAGACUGCCUGGGUAACCAGGAGGAAGGUGAGGACGACGUCAAGUCAUCAUGGCCCUUAUGUCCAGGGCUACACACGUGCUACAAUGGUUAGGACAAUGAGACGCAAUACCGCGAGGUGGAGCAAAUCUAUAAACCUAAUCUCAGUUCGGAUAGCACUCUGCAACUCGAGUGCUUGAAGCUGGAAUCGCUAGUAAUCGUAGAUCAGCAAUGCUACGGUGAAUACGUUCCCGGGUCUUGUACUCACCGCCCGUCACACCAUGGGAAUUUAGUUCACCCGAAGCCGGAAUGCCAAAUUGGCUACCGUCCACGGUGGGCUCAGUAACUAGGGUGAAGUCGUAAAAAGGUAACC